RNAcentral lists this long non-coding RNA (435 nucleotides) under Homo sapiens (human). RNAcentral describes it as "non-protein coding lnc-LARP4-2:1". The record is from RNAcentral. Lineage: Eukaryota; Metazoa; Chordata; Mammalia; Primates; Hominidae.
AUGAAGUUCAGUCCCUUUGUGACUUCCGACUGAAGCAAGAAUCACAAAAGGCAUUUCAAUACACCUUCCCACAUUCGCAGGAAGAUUAUGUCUUCCCCUCUUUCCGAAGAGCUGAGACAGAAGUACAACAUGUGAUCCGUGCCCAUCUGAAAGAAUGAUGAAGUUCAGGUUGUAUGAGGACACCAUAAAGGUCAGCAAAUUGGCAAAGUAGUCCAGGUUUACAGGAAGAAAUAUAUUAUCUACAUUGAACGGGUGCAGUGGAAAAAGGCUAAUGGCACAACUGUCCAUGUGGGCCCUCGCCCCAGCAAGGUGGGUAUCACUAGGCUAAAACUGGACAAAGACCGCAAAAAGAUCCUUGAACAGAAAGCCAAAUCUCGCCAAGUAGGAAAGGAAAAGAGCAAAUACAAGGAAGAAACAAUUGAGAAGAUGUAGGAA